Molecule: non-coding RNA, 71 nt
Organism: Cutaneotrichosporon spelunceum
Lineage: Eukaryota; Fungi; Basidiomycota; Tremellomycetes; Trichosporonales; Trichosporonaceae
Source: the annotation of a GenBank genome assembly
GGGGGUAUGACAUAUUGGUUGUGUGGGAAAUUUCUAUUUUCCUUAAAUCAGUUCGAUUCUGAUUACUUCCA